This is a small nuclear RNA of Heterocephalus glaber (naked mole-rat), 172 nucleotides long. Its record names the gene U2. It matches the Rfam family "U2 spliceosomal RNA". Rfam says of the family: U2 is a small nuclear RNA (snRNA) component of the spliceosome (involved in pre-mRNA splicing). Complementary binding between U2 snRNA (in an area lying towards the 5' end but 3' to hairpin I) and the branchpoint sequence (BPS) of the intron results the bulging out of an unpaired adenosine, on the BPS, which initiates a nucleophilic attack at the intronic 5' splice site, thus starting the first of two transesterification reactions that mediate splicing. NCBI's taxonomy places the organism in Eukaryota, Metazoa, Chordata, Mammalia, Rodentia, Bathyergidae. The record is from Ensembl.
AUCACUUCUCAGCCUUUUGGCUAAGAUCAGGUGUAGUAUCUAUUUAGCAAUCUGCUAAAGAAAAUAGAAUUAAAUGUCAAUUGAAGUCCAAAAUGUGGGAAAGAUAAUGAGUGAACCUCUGAGUAUUUCCCAACAGUCUAUUAUUCCAGCACUUUAAAAAAAAGUAUUUCCU